GUUGAAACACUGGUUCCUGUAUGAUCACUGAAGUUAAGCAACAUUGAGCCUGGUCAGUACUUAGAUGGGUAACUGCUUGGAAAUACCUGAUGCUGUAAG
Molecule: non-coding RNA, 99 nt
Organism: Acanthosepion pharaonis
Lineage: Eukaryota; Metazoa; Mollusca; Cephalopoda; Sepiida; Sepiidae
Source: the annotation of a GenBank genome assembly